UAGGGAAUCUUCGGCAAUGGGGGGAACCCUGGCCGAGCAACGCCGCGUGAGUGAAGAAGGUUUUCGGAUCGUAAAGCUCUGUUGUUAAGGAAGAACGAGUGUGAGAAUGGAAAGUUCAUACUGUGACGGUACUUAACCAGAAAGGGACGGCUAACUACGUGCCAGCAGCCGCGGUAAUACGUAGGUCCCGAGCGUUGUCCGGAUUUAUUGGGCGUAAAGCGAGCGCAGGCGGUUAGAUAAGUCUGAAGUUAAAGGCAGUGGCUCAACCAUUGUAGGCUUUGGAAACUGUUUAACUUGAGUGCAGAAGGGGAGAGUGGAAUUCCAUGUGUAACGGUGAAAUGCGUAGAUAUAUGGAGGAACACCGGUGGCGGAAGCGGCUCUCUGGUCUGUAACUGACGCUGAGGCUCGAAAGCGUGGGGAGCGAACAGG
Molecule: ribosomal RNA, 429 nt
Filed under: Bacteroidota bacterium
Lineage: Bacteria; Pseudomonadati; Bacteroidota
Description: Bacteroidetes bacterium partial 16S ribosomal RNA
Rfam family: Bacterial small subunit ribosomal RNA
Source: RNAcentral